Molecule: long non-coding RNA, 706 nt
Organism: Folsomia candida
Lineage: Eukaryota; Metazoa; Arthropoda; Collembola; Entomobryomorpha; Isotomidae
Exons: 3
Source: RefSeq, a predicted model, not a curated record
UGCAUGACAUGCUGUUUUUGCCACUGGUAGAUGAUUCCGUACUCAGACGAGAAAUACUUAUCUAAUGGAGUUCGUAUCCUAUUGACUUAUCUCGAAGCUCUAUUGCAGCCUACGUGUCACAACAGGCAAACACGCUGCGCAUACAAGAAAUAGGUGACGUUGAGAUAACGGGAGGAGUUUCUACUUUCUUCCCAUUGACUUUCUCCGUUCUCCAUAGGUCCAUAUAUAUUCAAGAACGACAUGUUUCCCAUUUCCCUGCCUUUCUUCUCACAAACAGAUCAAUUCAAUUAGAGUGCAACGUGACCCAAAUUCCCUGUUCGUGGAUGUUCACCAAAUUCAUUCUGUUCUGACGACAGCACAUCAUUGCUUUAACAACUGGGCUUUCUUGCCAUUCGAAUUGAAUUUGCCAAAAGCUGGACAACCUCUCCACGUACUGAUGACUGAAUAGAAGUUUUUCACCAAUAUGUCGUCGAACCUUUUCUUGAAUCUUAAAUUAAAUUGCAUCGUCUCAAAAAGCUGAAGUUGAGCAUUGUGAUACCUUUGAUGAACGAAUAUGAAGUUAAAGAUUUUAGGGAAGCGACCUCCACCUGUCUUCAUAGUCAUGGGGAAAGACUUGUAAUCACUGUAAAAAUUUGGUGCCAAAUAAUAAUAUAAAAUAUUUAACAACCAUCCGACCAACACCACCACGGGGGUGGGAAUAGUAGUU